AGAAAGGUAAGCUAAAUUUUAAGCUACCAGGUUCAUACCCUGUUUAUAGAGAUACCCUUCUCCUUUCUA
Molecule: transfer RNA, 69 nt
Filed under: Stiretrus anchorago
Lineage: Eukaryota; Metazoa; Arthropoda; Insecta; Hemiptera; Pentatomidae
Description: tRNA-Met
Source: RNAcentral